CCUACGGGCGGCAGCAGUGGGGAAUAUUGCACAAUGGGGGUAACCCUGAUCCAGCGACGCCGCGUGAGGGAAGAAGUAUCUCGGUAUUUAAAGCUCUAUUAGCAGGGAAGAAAAUGACGGUACCUGUCUCAGAAGCCACGGCUAACUACGUGCCAGCAGCCGCGGUAAUACUUAGGCGGCACGCGUUAUCCGGAUUUACUGGGUGUAAAGGGAGCGUAGGCGGCGCUGCCAGUUCGGAGUGAAAGGCCAGGGCUUAACCAUGGUACUGCUCUGGAAACUGUGGAGCUUGAGUGCGGGAGGGGCAGGCGGAAUUCCUGGUGUAGCGGUGAAAUGCGUAGAUAUUAGGAGGAACACCGGCGGCGAAGGCGGCCUGCUGGACCGUAACUGACGUUGAGGCUCGAAAGCGUGGGGAGCGAACAGGAUUAGAUACCCUUGUAGUC
RNAcentral lists this ribosomal RNA (440 nucleotides) under uncultured bacterium. RNAcentral's name for it is "partial 16S ribosomal RNA". It matches the Rfam family "Bacterial small subunit ribosomal RNA", at positions 338 to 795 of the family's 1533-position model. The record is from RNAcentral.